This 466-nucleotide ribosomal RNA is filed under the name Vreelandella stevensii. RNAcentral's name for it is "partial 16S ribosomal RNA". It matches the Rfam family "Bacterial small subunit ribosomal RNA", at positions 338 to 795 of the family's 1533-position model. Lineage: Bacteria; Pseudomonadati; Pseudomonadota; Gammaproteobacteria; Oceanospirillales; Halomonadaceae. The record is from RNAcentral.
CCUACGGGUGGGCAGCAGUGGGGAAUAUUGGACAAUGGGCGAAAGCCUGAUCCAGCCAUGCCGCGUGUGUGAAGAAGGCCUUCGGGUUGUAAAGCACUUUCAGUGGGGAAGAAAGCCUUGGGGCUAAUACCCUCGAGGAAGGACAUCACCCACAGAAGAAGCACCGGCUAACUCCGUGCCAGCAGCCGCGGUAAUACGGAGGGUGCGAGCGUUAAUCGGAAUUACUGGGCGUAAAGCGCGCGUAGGCGGUCUGAUAAGCCGGUUGUGAAAGCCCCGGGCUCAACCUGGGAACGGCAUCCGGAACUGUCAGGCUAGAGUGCAGGAGAGGAAGGUAGAAUUCCCGGUGUAGCGGUGAAAUGCGUAGAGAUCGGGAGGAAUACCAGUGGCGAAGGCGGCCUUCUGGACUGACACUGACGCUGAGGUGCGAAAGCGUGGGUAGCAAACAGGAUUAGAUACCCGUGUAGUC